Molecule: non-coding RNA, 1567 nt
Organism: Taeniopygia guttata (zebra finch)
Lineage: Eukaryota; Metazoa; Chordata; Aves; Passeriformes; Estrildidae
Source: RefSeq, a predicted model, not a curated record
UUUCUGCCACCUUAGCAAAGGAAAACAGCCAUCAAGGAGUACAAAGUGUGCCAAAGCAAGUGCAAAGAGAGGUGUGGGGGGAAAAGGUGCUGAACGAGUUGUUAGCUCAGCUCAAGCCAUGACAGGCACCUUUGCCCUCACUCCUGCUGUCAUUGUGACAUAAUAUUAAGGGUGAUGACAAAGGAGCUCUGUCAAGUCUUGUAGCUGCCUUUGGAGGACCCAUCACACCAAACACAGCUGUUCUGCCAGGAGUUGAUUCCAGCACAGCAGGCAAAGGAAUGGUACAGCUGCUGAUGCCUCAGCUAUUUCUGUGUAAAACUAAGCCCCCAGUGAGGAUGGAGAUAAGGCUCUGGACUUUGCACUUUUGAAGGGGCUGAGGCAGAAACACAUUCUCUUCUGCCAGUGCUGCAGAGGAGAGGCUGAAACCUGCAGCAGAGGGAUGAGAAGGACAAGUGGGGUUAGUGACCUCUUAGGAAGCCAUGGCAAGCUCAGCCCUUGGCACUGAAGUCUGGCUUUCCAGCAGGAAAAAUCUGAAAACAAGACUCAAAAUGUUUAAAACUCCCUGCUCUAAAAAGUGUGAAGUAGCUCAUCUGUAAAUUCUCUUGUCAAAAAAGUAGCAUUAGUGUAUAACUAAUAUCCAGGCUUGACUGACACCAAUUAUUCUAAUCCUCUAAAACAAAUCUCCUUAAAAUCAUUCUGCCAGCUUGCUACUGUCCUGUUUUUAGUCUACUGAACUCUAAUGUGUGCUAUACUGGCAGUGAAAGCAACAGAUAUGCAGGACUCAGAAGUUUUCAAUAUUAGAUGAAAUGGAAAAUAAGAAAACAGAAUUAAUUUUAGAAGUGAAAAAAAAAAUACAUUGUAAGGAUAAACAGAGCUUCACAUGGCAGAGGGAUUGCUCAUAUAUAAUUGAAUGAUGUAGGAUUUUUAAUUAAAAUGUGGUGACACCUUUCAUGCCUGAGAUGCACAGCACUGUAAACAAACUUUAUGCAUGUCCAAAAGAGCAGAUGAUGUGAAUUGCCUGAUUUCACACCCUCGGUCCUUUGUUUGUGAGCUGUGCAACACUUAUAUUGUACAUGCUCUCUGAUAGCUUUGUUUGGAGAGCAGUGGAGUGGUCACAAGAAGUGCUAUGGGAGGUUCAAUGUCUGGUCCUGUUCCAGCUCUUUUAUUCUUCUGGGUGGUUCUCACACACUGUAGUAUACACUGAGGACUGCUUUUCCUUUUUGUUGUCAAAUUCAUGGCUUAGCUUGGGAAUUACUACAGUUGCAGCCUAGCAUCUCUUGACUCAGCUUUGCUACCCCUAAGGGGAAUGAGAGAGCUUUUGAAGAGUGUCUGUGGGCUAGGCAGGAGUUUGUCCUUUCUUGGUGAUGAUCAAGCUGUGUGAUAGAGACUGAUUGAGGUUACAAACUACAAUGAAGGAAUGAAAAUGUUCCCGGGUGCAGUCUGCAUGUAUGGAGAAGUUCUAACCUAAGCAAUCACAAACUCUAUCACACACCUUCAUUAUCAUCAUCAUCAAGGGACAAAGAGAUGAAGUAAAAUAGAACCAAUAAAUAAAAAUAAAUAGAAUCAG